AACGAACGCUGGCGGCAUGCCUAACACAUGCAAGUCGAACGUUCCCUUCGGGGAUAGUGGCGCACGGGUGCGUAACGCGUGGGAACCUGCCCUUAGGUUCGGAAUAACUCAGAGAAAUUUGAGCUAAUACCGGAUAAUGUCUUCGGACCAAAGAUUUAUCGCCUUUGGAUGGGCCCGCGUUGGAUUAGCUAGUUGGUGGGGUAAAGGCCUACCAAGGCGACGAUCCAUAGCUGGUCUGAGAGGAUGAUCAGCCACACUGGGACUGAGACACGGCCCAGACUCCUACGGGAGGCAGCAGUGGGGAAUAUUGGACAAUGGGCGAAAGCCUGAUCCAGCAAUGCCGCGUGAGUGAUGAAGGCCUUAGGGUUGUAAAGCUCUUUUACCCGGGAUGAUAAUGACAGUACCGGGAGAAUAAGCCCCGGCUAACUCCGUG
RNAcentral lists this ribosomal RNA (433 nucleotides) under uncultured bacterium. RNAcentral's name for it is "partial 16S ribosomal RNA". It matches the Rfam family "Bacterial small subunit ribosomal RNA", at positions 29 to 507 of the family's 1533-position model. The record is from RNAcentral.